This 245-nucleotide ribosomal RNA is filed under the name uncultured Butyrivibrio sp. RNAcentral's name for it is "partial 16S ribosomal RNA". It matches the Rfam family "Bacterial small subunit ribosomal RNA", at positions 524 to 768 of the family's 1533-position model. The record is from RNAcentral. Lineage: Bacteria; Bacillati; Bacillota; Clostridia; Lachnospirales; Lachnospiraceae.
UACGUAGGGGGCAAGCGUUAUCCGGAAUUACUGGGUGUAAAGGGAGCGUAGACGGUGAUGCAAGUCUGAAGUGAAAUGCGGGGGCUCAACCCCUGAACUGCUUUGGAAACUGUAUGACUUGAGUACCGGAGGGGUAAGCGGAAUUCCUAGUGUAGCGGUGAAAUGCGUAGAUAUUAGGAGGAACACCGGUGGCGAAGGCGGCUUACUGGACGGUAACUGACGUUGAGGCUCGAAGGCGUGGGGAG